Molecule: ribosomal RNA, 29 nt
Filed under: Fagus grandifolia subsp. mexicana
Lineage: Eukaryota; Viridiplantae; Streptophyta; Magnoliopsida; Fagales; Fagaceae
Description: partial 28S ribosomal RNA
Source: RNAcentral
CGCUCCCGACGCGACCCCAGGUCAGGCGG